UUUCCGCAGGUGAACCUGCGGAAGGAUCAUUAUUGUAUAACCGAGGUGCGAGGGCUGUCGCUGACCCGAAAGGUCGUGCACGCCCGAGUGCCCUCACACACAUCCAUCUCACCCCUAUGUGCACCACCGCGUGGGUCCCCCUUUGGCUUGUUCGGAGGGGGGCUUACGUUUUCACACAAACUUUGUAUGCAGUGUAGAAUGUAUUUUUUGUUUUUGCGAUCACGCAAUCAAUACAACUUUCAACAACGGAUCUCUUGGCUCUA
Molecule: unclassified non-coding RNA, 263 nt
Filed under: plant metagenome
Description: partial contains small subunit ribosomal RNA, internal transcribed spacer 1, and 5.8S ribosomal RNA
Source: RNAcentral